This is a non-coding RNA of Salmo salar (Atlantic salmon), 1185 nucleotides long. NCBI's taxonomy places the organism in Eukaryota, Metazoa, Chordata, Actinopteri, Salmoniformes, Salmonidae. The record is from RefSeq and is a predicted model, not a curated record.
UAAAACUUGAUAUUGUUUGUGUCUUUGGAUGUGUAAGUGCUGUCAUAUAAACACAGUGUAUGUUUGUCACAUAAUCACUGGUCCUUGCAUAUGUCUACACCUGUCCCGCACCUGUGUAAUGUGUAGUGCAUGUGUAUGUACAUGUCAAGUCUUCUGUUUGUCUUGUCAACAAGUUCAUAGUUCAUCACAUGUUGCUGGCAUCCAUAUGGUAUCAUUUAUGCCCCUGUCAGGUCUGUUUGAGUGUGUCACAUUAUUUAUUUUGAAUUGUUUUAGUGUGUUGGUUGUAUGUUUUUGUUGCAUGCUUUCUUGUGGUGUUGGCUUAUCGCCAAAUACUUUAAGAAAAUGUAGGUUUAUUAAUGUCAUGAUAUGUUUUUUCUUAUUGCACUUCUCAUGUGUUGGUCUGUUGGAACUUCCACUGGUGCACUGCUGCAUCCAAUGUUACUGGACAUGAAUAAUCUAAAUGAUACCAUAUAGAUUGCAGGUUCAAGUAUUUGUUUGAUGUUGAGUGUGAAGCCUGUGGUCUGUCUGUCUAUGUAGUCAUUGGUUGUUACAAGACAUCUCUUUGUGUUUCCCUAGUUUGAGAUCAGUUUCAAUCAACGUUUUAAGUAUGAUUACUGGCGGUUAUUUGUCUUGAUAAAUCUGUGGUGUAGCCUAAUAUUUCUCUGCGAGUAAGUUGAGGGAUGUAUGUUGAGGUCGGCCUUGCCAGUCUUGUUUUAUUGAUACCGUUGUGACCCCUAGUAGAUGGUGAAGGAGCUGGGAAUCCCAAUGGCAAUGGGCAGGGAGCUAAACCAGCCAAACCUGGUAAACGUCAGUUACUAGUAAUAUCAAGUAAAAUAUACAGUACCAUUACACCCAUAGAUAAAUACAAGUAUAACUAAUGUAGAAAUAGUUUGCUACCCCAGCACCGCAAUUUUAUUGUGCUAUUAGUAUAAUUAAAGUUAGGUUUUGUCAUUUUAUUCAUUUGUUAACUUGAAUACAUGGCAUUCUAUUUAUAUUGCAUUUUUCUGACAUGGAUAUUCUAGACUUUGGACCAUCAGGAGUGCCAAAUGGACAAUGGAUUGUUCACGUUGAGAACCUACGAUGUGUCCCACUUGGUUGACCUGUGCUGGUGGAGGAAUUGUUCAUUUAUAGUGCUAAACCUAACUUGAACACAAUAAUAAUAAUAAACGACAUGUAUAGGAGUUA